Long non-coding RNA from Micropterus dolomieu (smallmouth bass), 491 nucleotides. RefSeq lists it as uncharacterized. The transcript has 2 exons. Lineage: Eukaryota; Metazoa; Chordata; Actinopteri; Centrarchiformes; Centrarchidae. The record is from RefSeq and is a predicted model, not a curated record.
GGCUGCUGGGGGAAGCAGAAACUCUCCGCUUGGUCUCUCAGUUGCUGCUGUCCAUCGACAAGAUCUCUAACCUCAACUCAGAGUCCUGAACUCCUCCAGACCACCAGGUCUCUCUUAGACCUCCUCCAGACCACCAGGUCUCUCUUAGACCUCCUCCAGACCCUUGUCUCUGACAGACAGGAUGUGGUUGUCAUGUAAAUGACCCUGAAAGGACAAACUUUGAGGUCAGAGGUCACAGAAACACCUGCAGCUUGUUUUGAAUCAUGUUCGGUUGAUUCGGCAGCUGUAAAUUGUUUUAUAAUAAAUUAAUUUUAAAUUCAUUAUUCUGGUGCACUUUGAGAGGCUAGAUCUGUGAGGAAAUUUGUUCUCUAGUAAACAGUUUGACCACAGUGUACAGAUAUAAAUGGUGAUAAUGCAGCAAAUAAGUCAGCAAAUGUAUUUAAUGUUUUUUCCAGCAGCCAAAAAUCAAAGAAUAAAAUAAUUUCCCAACA